RNAcentral lists this ribosomal RNA (254 nucleotides) under uncultured bacterium. RNAcentral's name for it is "partial 16S ribosomal RNA". It matches the Rfam family "Bacterial small subunit ribosomal RNA", at positions 524 to 776 of the family's 1533-position model. The record is from RNAcentral.
UACGUAGGGUGCAAGCGUUUGUCCGGAAUUAUUGGGCGUAAAGAGCUCGUAGGCGGUUUGUCGCGUCGGCUGUGAAAACCCGAGGCUCAACCUCGGGCCUGCAGUGGGUACGGGCAGACUAGAGUGCGGUAGGGGAGAAUGGAAUUCCUGGUGUAGCGGUGGAAUGCGCAGAUAUCAGGAGGAACACCGAUGGCGAAGGCAGUUCUCUGGGCCGUAACUGACGCUGAGGAGCGAAAGCGUGGGGAGCGAACAGG